Pongo pygmaeus (Bornean orangutan) is the source of this 2623-nucleotide long non-coding RNA. RefSeq lists it as uncharacterized. The transcript has 3 exons. The record is from RefSeq and is a predicted model, not a curated record. NCBI's taxonomy places the organism in Eukaryota, Metazoa, Chordata, Mammalia, Primates, Hominidae.
AAAGGGAUGAGACAACUAAGUGGGCAAGAGGUGAGAGAGAGAAGGGGGCCUUCUGGAAGCCAGGAAAGGGAAGAAACGCAGGAAGACGGGGCAUGCUGACAAAGCAAGGGGAGAGGAUGGAGUCAGGGAGAAGGAUGAGGCUGGAGAGAACAGAGCCCGGAGCAUACCCUUUUAGGCAUAUUGGAGUCCAGACUUUGCCCUGACAAUGGGGAACCACUGGAGCAUUUUACUGAAGUGACACAUUUGAAUUUAUGUUUUAGAGAGAUUUCUUUGGCUGCAGUACGGAAAAUAGAUGGGGUGGAAAGGAGAGAUGAGAGAACAGCAGGAAGAGCUGUUAGGAAGCCAUUGUGAGUGCCCAGGCAAGAGAUAAUAGCUUGGACUAUAGUAGUGACCCAGGAGCAAAAAAGAAAAAAAAGAAAGGCUCAAGUUAUUCAGGAGGUAAAAGGAACUGGAUUGGCAGUGCAUUGGAUGUGGGAGCCAGGGAGAAGAUGACAUCAAAAAUGAUUCUCCAGUUUUUGACUUGGGUAAAUGUACAACAGCAAGCAGCCCAGCCAAUUGAUUAGAAGCAUGGGCUACAGUUUCAACAGCCUGCAUUCAAAGUCUGGCUCUGUCCACAGCUAGCUGUUGAACCUGCGGCAAGGCACCGAUUCACUGGGUGCCUCAGAGUAUAAGAGAGGGAUAAUAAUUGUAUCUUCUGUACAGGGCUCUGGAAAAGGUUAAAUGAGGUAAAGUAUGUCAAAUGCUUGGAACGGAGCCUAGAAUAUCACAAGCACAAUAAAUCUUGGCCACUAUUACGUAGACAAGAUCUCAGGAGCAGGCAUAGUUUGUGGGGGUGGGAGCAUCAUGAGCUAGGUUCAAACACACUGAGUUUGAGACAUCUAGGGAACCACAGAACAAGUUCUGGGCUGGAGAUGUAGAUUUCAUUUGAGAGCUGCCAGCAGUAGAGAUGGUAAUUGAAGCCAUGGGAAUGGAGGCGAUUGUCCAGGGAGUGUAGGUAAAGUGAGAAUAGAUAAGUGCCAAAGGGCACAGUCUGGGUAUGUCAACAUUUAAGUGACAAUUUCAGAAAGAGAAGCCAAGGAGGAAACCAGAGAAAAGCAGUUGGAGAAGCAAGAAGGCAGCCAGAAGUGGUCCUGGUACAGCUGUGAUGGGGAGACAAUGACGAAACAGCAGGAACUGGCACCGAGAGUUAUUGGUGUAGCUUGGGCUCUCCCCUCAUCAUCCUCUCCAGCUGGGAGUCAUGUGACAGAAGCAAGAAGCCUGUCUCAGCACAUGUGUAAAAGAGCAAACUCCAGACACCCACGUCUGAUCUGUGCUGACCCACAAGCGUGAGGUGGCCCACCUUGGUGACUGGAAAUGACACCAUCCAAUUUUUCUGGCCGCUAUGUUGCACCCUUGAUUUUUUCCUUCAUAUGACAGACUUCACAGCAAAUACUCCUACUGAGUCCAAACAACCGCUACGAUUGAGAACAAGCAUGAAUCCGCCACCCACCUUCUCCUGGAAAUAAGGUUAUUGGGUUGCUGAACUCCCAUGAACCAAAAAGAAAACACUGAAUGGUAUCCAAACCAGCCUGGAAGGGACAGCGAGAAAAGCCAGAACCAAGGCUGACCAGCCUGAAUGCUGGUAAAUGUUAUCAAGAAUCUGGAGCAGAAGCCUCACUCUUCUAUCAAAAGGAGAAGAACCUGAAGAAAACACUUCUCUUCCUUCUCUCUGCCUAGGGGCAGUGACCCUGAAUUCAACCACCAUCAUCCCUUCCAGACACCAGAGUGGGGAGUCCCACAAGGCAGAAGGUGCCCCUGUGACCCAUCCACUUCUCUUCCAUGUUCUUUACCUCCUUGCUCAGGAAGCCAUAAAGUUGAGCUGAGUAGAAGGUGAAUUUCAUUGCAAAGUUUACACAGACUCUGCUGACAGGUUCAUGAAAACACUACUGAAUAUGUUACAUACCACCAAUGCUCACAGCACAUCCUGUGUUGGAAGUGAUACUUUUCCAUUGCCAGUAACCCUCCUUUUGUCCUAGGAGCUCACUGAACAGCUAAAAUCAGGUGGUAUUUUUACAUGGAACAUGCAACGUAUUAAGUCCUUUUGCUCAGUGACCCAAAAAGGAACUAAACGGUACCCAGACUAGAAAUCAAUGUCAAAUUAUUCAAAUAAAUUCCACUUAAAGAAUGGUGGCUUGGGAAGCGCUCAGCCAGAAAGAAUUCUCCCAAGAUUAGUUUACUGUGAAGUAGAAGGGAAGAACGUUUUAACUUUGGUUGGAAAUCUGAUGACAUUACAUAGAAGGUGAUGAAACAUCCUCUAAGAAACGGUUCUGAUCCACUGUAUGGCACCCUCCUCUCACAUUCUCCCAUUUUACCCAGUCAAGAAGUUCUUUUACAAGAGGCUAAGGAAACCAAGCAAUAUAAGAUCUAAUAAAAACUGAGUGCUGGAAAUGUGUGGGGAGAAAUCCGUAAUUAAACUGAGCAAUUAACUCCAGAAAGUUAACUGGGGCCAACUCUGACACUACUAUAAAGUUAUAAAAUCUCCAGCAUCUCAUUUCUUUGUCCCUUUACCCAAUUUCCCCUCAAAUGUAAGCCUCUCUUGCUCUCUCCUCUCUUCUUCAUAUUUAAUAAAACUGUUUGCCAGAAA